AAUGAACGUUGGCGGCGUGGAUUAGGCAUGCAAGUCGCACGAGAACCCAAUUAGCUUGCUAUGAGGGGGACAGUGGCGAAAGGGAGAGUAACGCGUGGUUACGUGCCCUCGAGACCGGGAUAGUGUCGGGAAACUGGCAGUAAUACCGGAUAACAUCUUUGGAUCAAAUGGUGUGAUUCCGCUCGAGGAUCGGACCGCGUACUAUUAGCUUGUUGGCGGGGUAACGGCCCACCAAGGCUGCGAUGGUUACCGGGUGUGAGAGCAUGGCCCGGCUCACUGGGACUGAGACACUGCCCAGACAUCUACGGAUGGCUGCAGUCGAGAAUCUUCGGCAAUGGACGAAAGUCUGACCGAGCGACGCCGCGUGCGGGAUGAAGGCCCUCGGGUUGUAAACCGCUGUCAGUUAGGAGGAAAUGCAUGAGGGUUCGUCUCUCAUGUUUGACCGAUUUUCAGAGGAAGGACGGGCUAAGUUCGUGCCAGCAGCCGCGGUAAAGUG
RNAcentral lists this ribosomal RNA (496 nucleotides) under uncultured bacterium. RNAcentral describes it as "bacterial SSU rRNA". It matches the Rfam family "Bacterial small subunit ribosomal RNA", at positions 29 to 527 of the family's 1533-position model. The record is from RNAcentral.